Molecule: non-coding RNA, 339 nt
Organism: Pelobates cultripes (western spadefoot toad)
Lineage: Eukaryota; Metazoa; Chordata; Amphibia; Anura; Pelobatidae
Source: the annotation of a GenBank genome assembly
CCACGGGUUACCAUGGCAACGCUCCGCGCGGCACUAAGAGCCGCGAGAUUUACACAGGGAGCUGUAGGAGCUGCUUGCAAGGUAAGUCAGCGCUUGCUGCUGCUGAGCCACCACUGUACUUAACAAGCCACUGGACCACCAGGGGAUACUAUAUCCCCCUCCCUGGUAAAAAGCAGGGAGGGGGGACUAAACAAAAAAAACCAAACAUUUAAAUAUUAAAAAAAAUAUUAAAAUAAAAAAUUACACAAAUUACAUCACUACACAAACACACACACACACAAACACAUACUGCAUUACAUACACACUACACAAACACACACUACACAAACACACACUGGG